GAUGAACGCUGGCGGCGUGCUUAACACAUGCAAGUCGAACGAUGAAGCCCAGCUUGCUGGGUGGAUUAGUGGCGAACGGGUGAGUAACACGUGAGUAACCUGCCCUUGACUCUAGGAUAAGCCCGGGAAACUGGGCCUAAUACUGGAUAGGAACGUCUACCGCAUGGUGGGUGUUGGAAAGAAUUUCGGUCAUGGAUGGACUCGCGGCCUAUCAGCUUGUUGGUGAGGUAAUGGCUCACCAAGGCGACGACGGGUAGCCGGCCUGAGAGGGUGACCGGCCACACUGGGACUGAGACACGGCCCAGACUCCUACGGGAGGCAGCAGUGGGGAAUAUUGCACAAUGGGCGAAAGCCUGAUGCAGCGACGCCGCGUGAGGGAUGACGGCCUUCGGGUUGUAAACCUCUUUCAGUAGGGAAGAAGCGAAAGUGACGGUACCUGCAGAAGAAGCACCGGCUAACUACGUG
Molecule: ribosomal RNA, 465 nt
Filed under: uncultured bacterium
Lineage: Bacteria
Description: partial 16S ribosomal RNA
Rfam family: Bacterial small subunit ribosomal RNA
Source: RNAcentral